UGGGGAAUAUUGGACAAUGGAGGAAACUCUGAUCCAGCAAUUCUGUGUGUGUGAAGAAGGUUUUAGGACUGUAAAACACUUUUAGUAGGGAAGAAAAAAAUGACGGUACCUACAGAAGAAGCAACGGCUAAAUACGUGCCAGCAGCCGCGGUAAUACGUAUGUUGCGAGCGUUAUCCGGAAUUAUUGGGCGUAAAGGGUACGUAGGCGGUCUAUUAAGUCAGGUGUGAAAGCGUGAGGCUUAACCUCAUUAAGCACUUGAAACUGAUAGACUUGAGUGAAGGAGAGGAAAGUGGAAUUCCUAGUGUAGCGGUGAAAUGCGUAGAUAUUAGGAGGAAUACCGGUGGCGAAGGCGACUUUCUGGACUUUUACUGACGCUCAGGUACGAAAGCGUGGGGAGCAAACAGG
Molecule: ribosomal RNA, 406 nt
Filed under: Verrucomicrobiota bacterium
Lineage: Bacteria; Pseudomonadati; Verrucomicrobiota
Description: Verrucomicrobia bacterium partial 16S ribosomal RNA
Rfam family: Bacterial small subunit ribosomal RNA
Source: RNAcentral